This is a long non-coding RNA of Pezoporus occidentalis (night parrot), 1321 nucleotides long. RefSeq lists it as uncharacterized. Lineage: Eukaryota; Metazoa; Chordata; Aves; Psittaciformes; Psittacidae. The record is from RefSeq and is a predicted model, not a curated record. The transcript is spliced from 2 exons.
UGCAAACUACUUAACGGGCUGCGUUAAUUGAGCCAGCAGCUUCCAGUCAGUAAGAACUCAGAUGUCAAAAGCACUGAAAAACAAUAAACCAGUAAUGGCAUUAAAAACAAAACUGAGAAUGGCCAGUGAAUUAUUAUGUCACCUUUGGAUAGAGUCCUUCCAGACCAAGAGGUAUGUCAUGCUAGAAGGAGAGAGAAGCCACAACUCUGUUCAGUGUACCAGUCUCUAGUUUUAAGAAUGAAAACUUCAUUAAUGCCUGAAGUUUGACUGUUAAUGGGAAGACAAAGCCAUAAAUCCUGUACUUGGCCAGCUCUCUUCUUCACUGAUUUUUGGACCUGUGGUUUUCUGGGGGAAGAGGGUGUUCUGUUUGUGUUUGGUUUUUUUUGUUUUUGUGUUGUUUUGUUUUUUUUUUUUUAAGGCUUUGAUCUCCCUUUAGAAGAUGGCAAGGAGAGGAAGAGGUGCAAGUCACAGGAGGAAUGAAACAUAUUUGUGUCAGACCCAUUUGUUCACCCUGAGGCUUAGCUCAGCACUGGCUGAAUACACAGUCAUUUUCCAAACUUGACUUUCGACUGUCAAGGCUUACAUUUAUUAAACACUUCUCAUAUCAUUUUCAGAGUUGAAUAGGAGUUCAAAAUGUUCUGCAAACUGCUACACAAAAGGUAUUCAAAUUACAGGGUCAGUGACUAUAUUUUCCCUUCUUUCUAUUUAGUUGUUUUUCUUUUAUGUUUCAUCAUCCACAGGGAAUAUGCACAGGAAAAAAAGACCUGGGAGGCCAGAGACUGAAGAAGGGAAGAGAGGGAGUUGAGAACAAGAGCAAGAGGGAAGAGAGAGCUAGUGGGAAACAGGGAAUGUUGGCUUUAACUGGAGCUGCUGACCCCACCAUGCUGGGACCUACAGCACUUUCUGUGCAGUCAUCACUGAAACAGCUUGAACAUGAUUAGCCCAGUUACAGCCCCUUCAGGAAGAUGCCUGUUGAGGCUUUCUUUCACCCUGUAUAUUGACUCUGAGACAACAUAUUUCAAACUCCUGGAAGCCUGACUUCCUCUGGCCACUCUACAUAAAUAGGAAACCAGUUCUGAACCUCCUCAUCCUGCAGUGCACCCCCACCUCUGUGAAUAUUUUUCCCACUCUGCGCCUGCAUUGCCAGCACACCAGCAUAGAAGAUAACACUCCAUGCUUUGAGGAAUCGCCUGUUGAUCAGUCUUGCUGUGCUAAGAUGUGUAUGCUAAAACUGUGUUACCUUUGCUAGGAUGUUGAAAUGAGUACUUUGUGAUACUAGUGGAUUAAAUCAUAAAUAUAAUAAACUCAAUAUUUAUUAGGA